AGUGAACGCUGGCGGUAGGCCUAACACAUGCAAGUCGAACGGCAGCACAGUAAGAGCUUGCUCUUACGGGUGGCGAGUGGCGGACGGGUGAGGAAUACAUCGGAAUCUACUUUUUCGUGGGGGAUAACGUAGGGAAACUUACGCUAAUACCGCAUACGACCUACGGGUGAAAGCAGGGGAUCUUCGGACCUUGCGCGAUUGAAUGAGCCGAUGUCGGAUUAGCUAGUUGGCGGGGUAAAGGCCCACCAAGGCGACGAUCCGUAGCUGGUCUGAGAGGAUGAUCCGCCACACUGGAACUGAGACACGGUCCAGACUCCCACGGGAGGCAGCAGUGGGGAAUAUUGGACAAUGGGCGCAAGCCUGAUCCAGCCAUACCGCGUGGGUGAAGAAGGCCUUCGGGUUGUAAAGCCCUUUUGUUGGGAAAGAAAAGCAGCAGGUUAAUACCCCGCUGUUCUGACGGUACCCAAAGAAUAAGCACCGGCUAACUUCGUG
Molecule: ribosomal RNA, 492 nt
Filed under: uncultured bacterium
Lineage: Bacteria
Description: partial 16S ribosomal RNA
Rfam family: Bacterial small subunit ribosomal RNA
Source: RNAcentral